CGCGGUUAAACGUUGGGGACAAGUAAUGCACAUUAUAGGCUUAAAGUGUUAGUAGAAUUGUAUAAAAUUAUUAUAAUUUUAUGGGCGUGCCCUACUUUAAUUAUAAUAAACUGGCUUGCCAGAUACUAGAGUAUAUAAUUAAGAUAUAAGAAAUAUAAGAGUAAUGGUUAAAUAUGCUAAUACUUAUAUGACUGCUAAUAUGUGAAGACAUAUAUCUGAUAUAUACUGACAUUGAGUAACGAAGGCUAAAGUAUCGAUAUGGAAUAGUUUCCCAAGUAGUUUUAGCAGUAAACGAUGAAUGUUCAUAAAAUAUAUAUAUUUUUUAUAAUAUAAGAUUAUAUUUUAUAAAGUGAAAACAUAAACAUUCCGCCUGAGUAGUACCUUCGCAAGUAGUAAACUCAAAACAAUAGACGGUAUAAGUUAUACACAGUGGAUCAUGUUAUUUAAU
RNAcentral lists this ribosomal RNA (448 nucleotides) under Middelhovenomyces petrohuensis. RNAcentral's name for it is "partial small subunit ribosomal RNA". It matches the Rfam family "Bacterial small subunit ribosomal RNA", at positions 516 to 950 of the family's 1533-position model. The record is from RNAcentral. Lineage: Eukaryota; Fungi; Ascomycota; Dipodascomycetes; Dipodascales; Dipodascaceae.